This 484-nucleotide ribosomal RNA is filed under the name Selenomonas sputigena. RNAcentral's name for it is "bacterial SSU rRNA". It matches the Rfam family "Bacterial small subunit ribosomal RNA", at positions 28 to 491 of the family's 1533-position model. The record is from RNAcentral. Lineage: Bacteria; Bacillati; Bacillota; Negativicutes; Selenomonadales; Selenomonadaceae.
GACGAACGCUGGCGGCGUGCUUAACACAUGCAAGUCGAACGGGAACCUUUAUUUCGGUAAAGGUGAGAGUGGCAAACGGGUGAGUAACACGUAGGCAACCUGCCGACAGGAUGGGGACAACAUUCCGAAAGGAAUGCUAAUACCGAAUGGAGUCUGAGGAUGGCAUCAUCCUUGGAUAAAAGAUGGCCUCUGAAUAUGCUAUCGCCUGUCGAUGGGCCUGCGUCUGAUUAGCCAGUUGGCGGGGUAACGGCCCACCAAAGCGACGAUCAGUAGCCGGUCUGAGAGGAUGAACGGCCACAUUGGGACUGAGACACGGCCCAGACUCCUACGGGAGGCAGCAGUGGGGAAUCUUCCACAAUGGGCGAAAGCCUGAUGGAGCAACGCCGCGUGAGUGAAGAAGGUCUUCGGAUCGUAAAGCUCUGUUGCACGGGACGAAAACUGGGUUUGAAAACAUUGAACCUGGGGACGUACCGAGCGAGGAGCC